UACAGAGGUCUCAACCGUUGUUCGGAUUCAUUGGGCGUAAAGGGUGCGUAGGCGGUCGUGCAAGUCGGAUGUGAAAUCUCAGGGCUCAACCCUGAAACUGCAUUCGAUACUGCGUGGCUAGAGUGCUGGAGAGGAGACUGGAAUUUACGGUGUAGCAGUGAAAUGCGUAGAGAUCGGAAAGAACACCAACGGCGAAAGCACUCUGCUGGGCCGACACUGACACUGAGAGACGAAAGCUAGGGGAGCGAACGGG
Molecule: ribosomal RNA, 253 nt
Filed under: uncultured bacterium
Lineage: Bacteria
Description: partial 16S ribosomal RNA
Rfam family: Bacterial small subunit ribosomal RNA
Source: RNAcentral